RNAcentral lists this ribosomal RNA (229 nucleotides) under uncultured bacterium. Its description in RNAcentral is "partial 16S ribosomal RNA". It matches the Rfam family "Bacterial small subunit ribosomal RNA", at positions 568 to 796 of the family's 1533-position model. The record is from RNAcentral.
UGCGUAGGCGGGCUAAUAAGUCAGUGGUGAAAUCUCUCGGCUCAACCGGGAAACUGCCAUUGAUACUGUUAGUCUUGAGUUCGGUUGAGGUAGGCGGAAUGUGUAAUGUAGCGGUGAAAUGCUUAGAUAUUACACAGAACACCAAUUGCGUAGGCAGCUUACUAGACCGACACUGACGCUGGGGCACGAAAGCGUGGGGAGCGAACAGGAUUAGAUACCCUGGUAGUCC